RNAcentral lists this long non-coding RNA (613 nucleotides) under Mytilus galloprovincialis (Mediterranean mussel). Lineage: Eukaryota; Metazoa; Mollusca; Bivalvia; Mytilida; Mytilidae. The record is from RNAcentral.
GCUUUGAAUACCUGGCUGAAAGUUUUUUUAUUUAAAGCAAAUGAAUUGAAUGUGUGAUAUAUACCAACACAUGGUAUUGCACACAAGUUCUAUUGGUAUACUUUAUAGUUUCUAUUUCUGAAACAAGUGUAUAUAGAAUGAAUAGAUCUAUUGUAAUGAAUAACAAUGGAUUUUUGACCACAUGGUGUGACGAGCGGGGUUUCAUAGUGUUUACUACAAGUUCUUUCUAGACACAUUAAAAUAACACAUUUAAUUUUAGGAAAUUCUAUAGCGAAAAAAAUUCAAACAUCUAUUUUAAACAAAAAUGAAUCCUUUAAAUACUCCUUUGCUUGACGCGAAAAUGUUUGAUCCCGGUCAUAUGUCCGGUCGACAUAUUUCUAAUUCAAAAACACCUAACCCUCAGUAUGUCCUGAUAGGAAUGUUAAUUCAUCAGACGAGGGGGCAGGGGCUUUUUAAAUAUUUUUUUUUUUUAUAUAAAACCGUAUUAUUAAAACACAUUUAUGAUUGCCUUCAAUAACAUGAUACAGGUAAAUACUUUGGGUUUCGAAUUCAACGCUUGACCAAACAAAUGUCAGUCGCCUUUUACCUGUUCAUAUUGAAAACUGCAAAGGAG